This is a long non-coding RNA of Pogoniulus pusillus (Red-fronted tinkerbird), 2135 nucleotides long. RefSeq lists it as uncharacterized. NCBI's taxonomy places the organism in Eukaryota, Metazoa, Chordata, Aves, Piciformes, Lybiidae. The record is from RefSeq and is a predicted model, not a curated record. The transcript has 2 exons.
UUGGGCAGAAGGAUCCUCCUCGGAUCAUCACCGGUCAGAAAGAGUAUAUUGAAAUCCUCUGCAUGACUGUACCAGCCUGAAACGUGAUCAAUCCAAGAACUGCCAAGAACUUAGCAUGGGAAAUUAUUAAAACAAAGCAAACAAAAAAGAUAAAUACUAUUAGCAGCCAGAAGUGAAGCCAUGAAAUUAGCAGUUAGUUUGGUCUUUAAAAGAGCUUCUUUUAAGGAGUGUUUGGGAUUCUCACAGUCUUUGUGAUAAAUCUUUGAGUUAAUGUGGCAAAUCCCCUUUUGCAUAUAGGAGUCUGAACUAGUCCUGGUAGAAGCAGUAAGCUACUUCUCUAGCUUGGCUGUACAGUGCCCAUUCUUACAGGUUCAGUGCAGAAAGAUUUAAGAGAUUUUCAGUCAGAAUGGUUAUGUUCUGGACCAGCAUCCCCUUCAGACAAAAUAAGCAGCUUGUAUUAUGCUGGGGACCUAUGGCCAUGGUACUUCUCUGGCACAGCUUUCAUCAGAAAGUGAUGUCCAGCUCAGGCAACCUCUGCAGCCUUGAAUUCGAGUGACAGUUGAGGACCCUGGUAGUUUCUGUUUAUUGAGAUAGUUAUUCUCAAUUUAAUCCAAGGCCAUGGAACAGGGUUUGGGCUCCUUAGUGAAAGAAAUAUCCUACCUUUGCCAGAUAAAAACCUCUCCAUAAAAAGGUUGAAAUCUGCUAUUUCCUCCACUGUCUUCAUGUACUUGGAGAAGUGAUAGUAAGAAACCAUAACAUCCUUAGGGUUCCUGGUAACAUAAAUUAUCUGCAAAACAAUAAGAAGAUGAAUCUCAGAGAUAUUAAGGGGCUUCACUGUACUGCAUUUUUCCAUACAUGUCCCACUGAAAGUAUACAGAAGCAGUCUGAAGAUGACACAGACAUUAGGUGAAUUCUGGAUAAGGCAAUGCUGUCAAUCUGUUUGUGAUGGCAUUUCUGGUGUUAGUCUUUCAGUGAAGGAUCCUGUCCUUGAAUUGCUGUUCUGAAUGGCUACAAUGAUGGCUUUUGGUUCCUGCAUAGUGCAAAAUGAUCUUAUCUUUAACACAACCAAACCCAUUAUUUCCAAGGUAUAUGAAAUUAGAAUUCCUUUAUAUGCUCCAGGAAAACACAAAGACAUCUGACUUGAUACCAGUGAAAAAGUAAUUGUGUGGUUUGACCUAAGUGACAUACCCAAGCAGAAGUGGAAAAGAUCCCUCCCCCAGGCAAUAGUUUUCUUAAGUGACAACAAACUCCAUGUCCUCUGGCAUGUGUGCUCUGUGUGAUUUUUAGGCAAAUUUUCAUUCCCUGUUGGAAUCACUUGUUUCAGAUCUUCUGAUCUGAAAAAAAGUACAUGAGCUUUCUCUACCAAACUUCACUGGUGCUGUGAAGAAAAUGGUGAGCACGUUGCAGUUUCCCUUUGCCCUUUUGUCUCUAGAAGAAGGGAGGAGCAGCUCUUGGGGUUUGCCUCUGCAGCCACAGCUCAGGCUUGGGAAGCUCUGCAUCAGGAACAAGGACAGAGCCAUUGGGGCCACCACAAGAAAGACUAUCAGAAGUACAAGAUCCUUUGCCAGGGAGCACAGUAACACAGAUUGCUCCAAAGAGACUAAGGCAAUCCUCUUUGUGCUGUUAGAAGUAUGCACCCCAUAUACACCUUCAGGCUUCACAUAUGUCCAUGUCCUGUCCGUGAUGGUUAGUGUAGCAGGCUGGUUACAUCUAUCCCUAAGGAAAUAUUUUCCAUGGGAGCUAAACCCUGAGCUAAGGCACAGAUCAUGAUGGAAAGUCCUAUUCAGAAACUCCCAGCAAGAAGGAACAGUUCUCAUGUUCCACCUCCACCAACUACAGCCUCCUCCUACUCAGUGUGUGGGACAGUUUUUCAGACUUCUGCUGGGAGCUAUCAUUUCCAAAAGGGGAAAAUCAAUAAAAGAUUUUGACCCUGGCAGGUCCCCCUGAGUCACACCACUCCUUCCUCUAACUGUUCUGAGCCUGAGAGCUUUGGCAAAAGGAAACAGAGGAAAUGGGCUAUAGAAGUCUUAGAAUCAACCAGGUUGGAAGAGACUUCCAAGAUCAUCCAAUCCAACCUAUCACCCAGCCCUAUCCAGUCAACUAAACCAUGGCACUAAGUGCCUCAUCCAGGUUUU